This 376-nucleotide unclassified non-coding RNA is filed under the name uncultured Gammaproteobacteria bacterium. Its description in RNAcentral is "contains 16S-23S intergenic spacer region". The record is from RNAcentral. Lineage: Bacteria; Pseudomonadati; Pseudomonadota; Gammaproteobacteria.
UCCGGUUUAUCACCAGCAGUCUCCUUAGAGUUCUCGGCCGAACCGUUAGCAACUAAGGACAAGGGUUGCGCUCGUUACGGGACUUAACCCAACAUCUCACGACACGAGCUGACGACAGCCAUGCAGCACCUGUCACCGCGUUCCCGAAGGCACUCUCAUAUCUCUACAAGAUUCGCGGGAUGUCAAGGGUAGGUAAGGUUCUGCGCGUUGCAUCGAAUUAAACCACAUGCUCCACCGCUUGUGCGAGCCCCCGUCAAUUCCUUUGAGUUUUAGCCUUGCGGCCGUAUUCCCCAGGCGGAGUACUUAGCGCGUUAGCUACGCCACUAAGAACCGAAGUUCCCAACGGCUAGUACUCAUCGUUUACAGCGUGGACUAC